UACGGGGGAUGCAAGCGUUAUCCGGAUUUAUUGGGUUUAAAGGGUGCAUAGGCUGUGAGGUAAGUCAGCGGUGAAAUGCCCCCGCUCAACGGGGUGAAGUGCCAUUGAUACUGCCUUGCUGGAAUGCGGAUGCCGUGGGAGGAAUGUGUGGUGUAGCGGUGAAAUGCAUAGAUAUCACACAGAACACCGAUUGCGAAGGCAUCUCACGAAUCCGCGAUUGACGCUGAUGCACGAAAGCGUGGGUAUCAAACAGG
This 254-nucleotide ribosomal RNA is filed under the name uncultured bacterium. RNAcentral describes it as "partial 16S ribosomal RNA". It matches the Rfam family "Bacterial small subunit ribosomal RNA", at positions 524 to 776 of the family's 1533-position model. The record is from RNAcentral.